This 415-nucleotide ribosomal RNA is filed under the name uncultured eukaryote. RNAcentral describes it as "SSU rRNA". It matches the Rfam family "Eukaryotic small subunit ribosomal RNA", at positions 592 to 1018 of the family's 1831-position model. The record is from RNAcentral.
CAAUAGCGUAUAUUUAAGUUGUUGCAGUUAAAAGCUCGUAGUUGGAUUUCGGUUGAGAGCGGCCGGUCCGCCGUUUGGUGUGCACUGGCUGGUCUCAGCUUCCUGCGGAGGACGCACUCUGGGGCUAACGCUUCGGAUGUGGAGUCCGCGUGGUUACUUUGAAAAAUUAGAGUGUUCAAAGCGGGCUUACGCUUGCAUACUUCAGCAUGGAAUAACACUAUAGGACUCCUGUCCUAUUUCGUUGGUCUCGGGACGGGAGUAAUGAUUAAGAGGAACAGUUGGGGGCAUUCGUAUGAAAGUGCUAGAGGUGAAAUUCUUGGAUUUCUUUCAGACGAACUUCUGCGAAAGCAUUUGCCAAGGAUGUUUUCAUUAAUCAAGAACGAAAGUUGGGGGCUCAAAGACGAUUAGAUACCAU